GAUGAACGCUGGCGGCGUGCCUAAUACAUGCAAGUAGAACGCUGAAGCUUGGUGCUUGCACCGAGCGGAUGAGUUGCGAACGGGUGAGUAACGCGUAGGUAACCUGCCUCUUAGCGGGGGAUAACUAUUGGAAACGAUAGCUAAUACCGCAUAAAAGUCAAUAUCGCAUGAUAUUGAUUUGAAAGGUGCAAAUGCAUCACUAAGAGAUGGACCUGCGUUGUAUUAGCUAGUUGGUGAGGUAACGGCUCACCAAGGCGACGAUACAUAGCCGACCUGAGAGGGUGAUCGGCCACACUGGGACUGAGACACGGCCCAGACUCCUACGGGAGGCAGCAGUAGGGAAUCUUCGGCAAUGGGGGCAACCCUGACCGAGCAACGCCGCGUGAGUGAAGAAGGUUUUCGGAUCGUAAAGCUCUGUUGUAAGAGAAGAGCGAGUGUGAGAGUGGAAAGUUCACACUGUGACGGUAACUUACCAGAAAGGGACGGCUAACUACGUGCCAGCAGCCGCGGUAAUACGUAGGUCCCGAGCGUUAUCCGGAUUUAUUGGGCGUAAAGCGAGCGCAGGCGGUUAGAUAAGUCUGAAGUUAAAGGCUGUGGCUUAACCAUAGUACGCUUUGGAAACUGUUUAACUUGAGUGCAGAAGGGGAGAGUGGAAUUCCAUGUGUAGCGGUGAAAUGCGUAGAUAUAUGGAGGAACACCGGUGGCGAAAGCGGCUCUCUGGUCUGUAACUGACGCUGAGGCUCGAAAGCGUGGGGAGCAAACAGG
This 765-nucleotide ribosomal RNA is filed under the name uncultured Streptococcus sp. Its description in RNAcentral is "bacterial SSU rRNA". It matches the Rfam family "Bacterial small subunit ribosomal RNA", at positions 28 to 776 of the family's 1533-position model. Lineage: Bacteria; Bacillati; Bacillota; Bacilli; Lactobacillales; Streptococcaceae. The record is from RNAcentral.